RNAcentral lists this ribosomal RNA (1361 nucleotides) under uncultured bacterium. RNAcentral describes it as "bacterial SSU rRNA". It matches the Rfam family "Bacterial small subunit ribosomal RNA", at positions 28 to 1381 of the family's 1533-position model. The record is from RNAcentral.
AUUGAACGCUGGCGGCAGGCCUAACACAUGCAAGUCGAGCGGUAGCACAGAGAGCUUGCUCUCGGGUGACGAGCGGCGGACGGGUGAGUAAUGUCUGGGAAACUGCCUGAUGGAGGGGGAUAACUACUGGAAACGGUAGCUAAUACCGCAUAACGUCGCAAGACCAAAGUGGGGGACCUUCGGGCCUCAUGCCAUCAGAUGUGCCCAGAUGGGAUUAGCUAGUAGGUGGGGUAACGGCUCACCUAGGCGACGAUCCCUAGCUGGUCUGAGAGGAUGACCAGCCACACUGGAACUGAGACACGGUCCAGACUCCUACGGGAGGCAGCAGUGGGGAAUAUUGCACAAUGGGCGCAAGCCUGAUGCAGCCAUGCCGCGUGUGUGAAGAAGGCCUUCGGGUUGUAAAGCACUUUCAGCGGGGAAGAAGGCGGUGAGGUUAAUAACCUUGUCGAUUGACGUUACCCGCAGAAGAAGCACCGGCUAACUCCGUGCCAGCAGCCGCGGUAAUACGGAGGGUGCAAGCGUUAAUCGGAAUUACUGGGCGUAAAGCGCACGCAGGCGGUCUGUCAAGUCGGAUGUGAAAUCCCCGGGCUCAACCUGGGAACUGCAUUCGAAACUGGCAGGCUAGAGUCUUGUAGAGGGGGGUAGAAUUCCAGGUGUAGCGGUGAAAUGCGUAGAGAUCUGGAGGAAUACCGGUGGCGAAGGCGGCCCCCUGGACAAAGACUGACGCUCAGGUGCGAAAGCGUGGGGAGCAAACAGGAUUAGAUACCCUGGUAGUCCACGCCGUAAACGAUGUCGAUUUGGAGGUUGUGCCCUUGAGGCGUGGCUUCCGGAGCUAACGCGUUAAAUCGACCGCCUGGGGAGUACGGCCGCAAGGUUAAAACUCAAAUGAAUUGACGGGGGCCCGCACAAGCGGUGGAGCAUGUGGUUUAAUUCGAUGCAACGCGAAGAACCCUACCUGGUCUUGACAUCCACAGAACUUUCCAGAGAUGGAUUGGUGCCUUCGGGAACUGUGAGACAGGUGCUGCAUGGCUGUCGUCAGCUCGUGUUGUGAAAUGUUGGGUUAAGUCCCGCAACGAGCGCAACCCUUAUCCUUUGUUGCCAGCGGUUAGGCCGGGAACUCAAAGGAGACUGCCAGUGAUAAACUGGAGGAAGGUGGGGAUGACGUCAAGUCAUCAUGGCCCUUACGACCAGGGCUACACACGUGCUACAAUGGCAUAUACAAAGAGAAGCGACCUCGCGAGAGCAAGCGGACCUCAUAAAGUAUGUCGUAGUCCGGAUUGGAGUCUGCAACUCGACUCCAUGAAGUCGGAAUCGCUAGUAAUCGUAGAUCAGAAUGCUACGGUGAAUACGUUCCCGGGCCU